Long non-coding RNA from Lemur catta (Ring-tailed lemur), 1046 nucleotides. RefSeq lists it as uncharacterized. The transcript is spliced from 3 exons. Lineage: Eukaryota; Metazoa; Chordata; Mammalia; Primates; Lemuridae. The record is from RefSeq and is a predicted model, not a curated record.
AACUGUCCAUCUGAGGGCCAGGUUACAUAGAUUAUGGUCUGUCCAUACGUGUAACAGAGUGCUUUGCAGCUGACACGGAAGGAGCACACUCUUUGUGCGAUGAUACAAGGAUCUGACCUCACAAGGAAAGGGGAGGUACUUUGAGGCUUUGGGGACGAUCAUUGGGCUCUGCCAGGCCUUGGUGGCCCUGUCUGAGAUUCGAGGGGGUCGGCUUGGACCCCUGCUGGUUAGACACCCACAGCUCAGCACCAGCCGGUCCAGGCUUGCGUCCAGCUCUCCACAGUGCCUCCCCUCCACGGUGCCAGCACCCCUGUCUCCACUAGGUCCUGAUGGCGUGAGACGCCCAGCACCUUCUGACUCUGGCUGGAGAAUCCAGGUGGAGGUGCUCAGGCGGGAAGGCUGUGCCUACUGAAUGCUCUGUUUGAAGCCACACUCGGGCAACUGCCAGGAGGGAGUACCUGGAGGGCCCACCGACACCACCCUCAGCUGCUGAGGGAAGAACUGAGGAGGGGGCUUCCUGUCCGGUGUUGCUGAGGGUGCUCCUGAGAGCCAGGCUGCAGGAAAACGGGGCCCCCACUCUGGCCAACUCCCAGGCCCUGCCCAUGCAGCUGGAGGGGAGCUCAGGGCUGCCCAGGGCCGGUGUUCUGGAGGCGCAGGAGGGCGGGGAAGGGAGAGUCAGUGCUAUCCCUGGUCCAGAAGGAAGGAAGUCCCAGGUCAGGAGGGCCCCCACCCCCUCCCGGCCCCUGGAGACUCUGGGCUUCUCUCUCCCAGGGCCCUCCAGACACACCUCUGCCCACGGAUGGCUCAACUGACUGCCCAGCUGCUCCCGCGCGAGGUGCCCGGCCAGCCCAGCCGGUGCAGGGGGCAGGGGGCGGGCUAUCAAGGGUUGGGAGAUUCAGGAACCGAAUUUUAAAAAAAGAUGAGAAAGGAGUGGCCGACUUUUAAUUUUGCCCAUUAAAGGUGUUGUCACAAAAACAAUCUCUAUCUCCCAUAACCAUUUCAUUUAAAAAGAAUGUUUUAACAUUAAAAAGAAAACUCAAGUUUAA